UGGGGAAUAUUGCACAAUGGAGGAAACUCUGAUGCAGCGACGCCGCGUGAGUGAGGAAGUAUUUCGGUAUGUAAAGCUCUAUCAGCAGGGAAGAAAAAAAUGACGGUACCUGACUAAGAAGCCCCGGCUAACUACGUGCCAGCAGCCGCGGUAAUACGUAGGGGGCAAGCGUUAUCCGGAUUUACUGGGUGUAAAGGGAGCGCAGGCGGAAGGCUAAGUCUGAUGUGAAAACCCGGGGCUCAACUCCGGGACUGCAUUGGAAACUGGUCAUCUUGAGUGUCGGAGAGGCAAGUGGAAUUCCUAGUGUAGCGGUGAAAUGCGUAGAUAUUAGGAGGAACACCAGUGGCGAAGGCGGCUUGCUGGACGACAACUGACGCUGAGGCUCGAAAGCGUGGGGAGCAAACAGG
This 407-nucleotide ribosomal RNA is filed under the name uncultured prokaryote. RNAcentral's name for it is "bacterial SSU rRNA". It matches the Rfam family "Bacterial small subunit ribosomal RNA", at positions 355 to 776 of the family's 1533-position model. The record is from RNAcentral. RNAcentral also lists the same sequence under 1 other name.